This is a long non-coding RNA of Fukomys damarensis (Damara mole-rat), 1406 nucleotides long. RefSeq lists it as uncharacterized. Lineage: Eukaryota; Metazoa; Chordata; Mammalia; Rodentia; Bathyergidae. The record is from RefSeq and is a predicted model, not a curated record. The transcript is spliced from 3 exons.
UCCAGCACUCUCUGCUCCAAGACACUGGAAGGGAGGGAAGGAGAGAGGGCAGUGCUUGUCAGCUCCUGGGGCUUCUCAGAGGCAAGUGCCCCAUAAGCACCUGAUCACUGUCGUGGUCCCGAUGGAACUGUUUGAAGGUAGGGUGCUCUGUUAGGGUGUGAUCGGAAUUACGGUGUCACAGCUCUAAAGAGUCUCAUACUUGUUAUGACUAGACAGACAGACAGACAGAGAGACAUAAUGGGAGGUUCUGAGCUGUGUAGAGGAACAUGAGUGUCACAAGCACUCUGUGCUGUAAGGGUGCUGUGCACCCAGAUGCUUCAGUGACCUGCGCUCUGUCCAAGUGAGAUCACAAAGCAAGCCGUCUCCACUGGAGAAAACACCUAAUGGGACUGUGAGGCCCCCAGUGCAGAGAGGGUGAGGCAGGCACAGCUGUCUGUCACCUGGGCAGUGCCUGUCGUGCUCCCCGGGGACAUCUCCACCUCCACAAAGGUGUGAGAUCAGUGAGCACUGGGGCCUCUGGCUGUUAACUCUGUGCGUCUAGCAUGUCAUUUUUUUGGCAGUGAUAUCUUCUGAACCUUUAACCCCACAAACAGCCCCAGCCAGCCAAGGGUCUGGACUGUAAGUGAUAAUAACCCCCUUACCAGGGCAGCCCCAGAGGGCAGUAGCAUCCCAACGGAAAAGAACUUGCUUUGGGGUUAGCAUAAGCACGUGCCUGAGACAAGCCAGCAUCGGAUCACCCAGCCCAGACGGACUGGGGUCAACGCAGCUGAGGAGGUAACAGAUGGCCACACUUCACAACCAUCAGCAUGUAGGGACCCUGUGACACAGCAGCCUUUUACAAAAUGCACGUCAGGACCCGUCAGUGGCUUGUAAAAUCAAAUUAGUGAGUUGUAGCUCGCUUUUUCUUCAUGCAGUGGUAGAAAACAGAUGAAAAUACCGAGUAAAUUCAUGGUGGGGGCUUUGCACACUGAAGAAAUCCUGUGGCCAGUAUUGAUGAGUGCUAAAGGAAAAAUGGGAGCAAGUGUGGGGAACAGGCCGGCUGGAAACGAGUAGCCUCAUAAUUUGCUCAUGGCAUCUUAUGUGAUUUUCUGACAUGAGGGAUCACCUACAGGCUGUCACCACCAAGGUGGACUUCGGUACAGCUUCACUUCACGUCAGCAUCGCUCAAGGUUAAUCGGGAGCUGUGGGGAAGAAUCCUGUUGGCAGAAACAUCAAGAAUGGGAAUCGCAUUUGUGAUGCUUCAGUUGUGGUGUGAACUCUUCCUCCCUUCUUCCUGCCAUUCUGGUACCAUUUGCACCCAGGCCCUCAACCGUGAGGCUGAAUGAGUGGGGUUGCCUUCUGUUGGACUUACAGCUUCCGAAAUUGUGAGUUAAUUAGACUUUUGUACUUUAGAAAGUGAGUCUGGG